This 1922-nucleotide ribosomal RNA is filed under the name human gut metagenome. RNAcentral's name for it is "bacterial LSU rRNA". It matches the Rfam family "Bacterial large subunit ribosomal RNA", at positions 3 to 1973 of the family's 2925-position model. The record is from RNAcentral.
UCAAGCGACUAAGUGUAUGUGGUGGAUGCCUUGGCGAUUACAGGCGAUGAAGGACGUCGCAGCCUGCGAAAAGCCGUGGGGAGCUGGCAAGCGAGCACUGAUCCACGGAUGUCCGAAUGAGGGAACUCACCCGCAAGGGUAUCUUGAAGUGAAUACAUAGCUUCAAGAGGCGAACGCAGCGAACUGAAACAUCUAAGUAGCUGCAGGAAAAGAAAUCAACCGAGAUUCUGAAAGUAGCGGCGAGCGAAAUUGGAAGAGCCUGCAAGUGAUAUUGAAUUCGAUACUGGAACGGUCUGGAAAGUCCGGCUACAGAGGGUGACAGCCCCGUACGGGAAAUUGGGUUCAAGGUACUGAGCUUGCGAGAAGUAGAGCGGGACACGUGAAAUCCUGCUCGAAGAUGGGGGGACCAUCCUCCAAGGCUAAAUACUCGUAAUCGACCGAUAGCGAACCAGUACUGUGAAGGAAAGGCGAAAAGAACCCCGGGAGGGGAGUGAAAUAGAUCCUGAAACCGCAUACAUACAAACAGUAGGAGCCCGCAAGGGUGACUGCGUACCUUUUGCAUAAUGGGUCAGCGACUUACGUUCAAUGGCAAGCUUAACCGAGUAGGGGAGGCGCAGCGAAAGCGAGUCCGAACAGGGCGACAUGAGUCGUUGGGCGUAGACCCGAAACCAGAUGAUCUAUCCAUGGCCAGGCUGAAGGUGUGGUAACACACACUGGAGGGCCGAACCGACUAGUGUUGCAAAAUUAGCGGAUGAGCUGUGGAUAGGGGUGAAAGGCUAAACAAAUCUGGAGAUAGCUGGUUCUCCCCGAAAACUAUUGAGGUAGUGCCUCGUGUAUGGCUCCAGGGGGUAGAGCACUGUUAUGGCUAGGGGGACAUGGCGUCUUACCAAACCAUGGCAAACUCCGAAUACUUGGAAGUCUGAGCACGGGAGACAGAGCACCGGGUGCUAACGUCCGGACUCAAAAGGGAAACAACCCAGACCGCCGGCUAAGGUCCCUAAUAUUGACUAAGUGGAAAACGAAGUGGGAAGGCUAAGACAGUCAGGAAGUUGGCUUAGAAGCAGCCAUCCUUCAAAGAAAGCGUAAUAGCUCACUGAUCGAGUCUUCCUGCGCGGAAGAUGUAACGGGGCUAAGUCAAUAACCGAAGCCGCGGAUUCGCAGCAAUGCGAGUGGUAGGGGAGCGUUCUGUAAGCCUGCGAAGGCGGAUCUGCGAGGACCGCUGGAGGUAUCAGAAGUGCGAAUGCUGACAUGAGUAACGUUAAAGCGGGUGAAAAGCCCGCUCGCCGCAAGCCCAAGGUUUCCUGCUCUACGUUCAUCGGAGCAGGGUGAGUCGGCCCCUAAGGUCAGGCUGAGAAGCGUAGCUGAUGGGAAGCUGGUUAAUAUUCCAGCACCGAUUUCAAGUGCGAAGGGGGGACGGAGUCCUGAAGGUCAUCCGGGUGUUGGACAUCCCGGUUUACGAGCGUAGGAGGUUGACAGGCAAAUCCGUCAACGGAUCUCCAAGGCGAAGGAUCGAGGUUGAGAGAUCAACUGAAGUGACUGAAUGGGCUUCCAGGAAAAGCCUCUAAGCAUCAGCUUGGAAUUGACCGUACCGCAAACCGACACUGGUGGGCGAGCUGAAUAUGCUCAGGCGCUUGAGAGAACUCAGGAGAAGGAACUCGGCAAAUUGACACCGUAACUUCGGGAUAAGGUGUGCCUUUGUAGUGUGAAGGGAGAAACACCCCGAGCAUGAAGAGGCCUCAGAGAAUCGGUGGCUGCAACUGUUUACUAAAAACACAGCACUCUGCAAAGAUGAAAGUCGACGUAUAGGGUGUGAUGCCUGCCCGGUGCUGGAAGAUUAAUUGAUGGGGUGCAAGCUCCUGAUCGAAGUCCCAGUAAACGGCGGCCGUAACUAUAACGGUCCUAAGGUAGCGAAAUUCCUUGUC